Molecule: small nucleolar RNA, 117 nt
Filed under: Meriones unguiculatus (Mongolian gerbil)
Lineage: Eukaryota; Metazoa; Chordata; Mammalia; Rodentia; Muridae
Description: Small nucleolar RNA SNORA17 (ENSMUGG00000018835.1)
Rfam family: Small nucleolar RNA SNORA17
About the family: snoRNA ACA 17 belongs to the H/ACA family of snoRNAs and is predicted to guide pseudouridylation of the 28S rRNA at positions U4659 and U4598. It shares the same host gene together with ACA43.
Source: RNAcentral
CCUGCCCAUUGCAGGUAACGGUUGAGUCACGAGUGUGUCAGUAGGUGGCAGAGAGAGGCUCUGUCCACACUUAAUGUUCUGACCUGUGAAUCUCUGAAUGGUUAGUAGCGUACCACU